Molecule: ribosomal RNA, 622 nt
Filed under: uncultured bacterium
Lineage: Bacteria
Description: bacterial SSU rRNA
Rfam family: Bacterial small subunit ribosomal RNA
Source: RNAcentral
AGAGUUUGAUCCUGGCUCGCGCGAACAUUGGCGGCGCGCCUAACACAUGCAAGUCGAACGGGCAGCAGCCGCAAGGUUGCUGUCAGUGGCGCACGGGUGAGUAACGCGUGAGUAACCUGCCCCAAGGUGGGGAAUAACCUAUCGAAAGAUGGGCUAAUACCGCAUAAUGCCCAUAAGCCCUCGGGCUUGUGGGCCAAAGGCCGAAAGGCCGCCUUGGGAGGGGCUUGCGUCGGAUUAGCUAGUUGGUAGGGUAAUGGCCUACCAAGGCGAUGAUCCGUAGCUGGCCUGAGAGGGUGGUCAGCCACACUGGAACUGAGACACGGUCCAGACUCCUACGGGAGGCAGCAGUGGGGAAUCUUGCGCAAUGGGGGAAACCCUGACGCAGCGACGCCGCGUGGGUGAAGAAGGACUUCGGUCUGUAAAGCCCUGUUGCAGGGGAGCAACCCUGAGAGUACCCUGCGAGAAAGGGUCGGCUAACUUCGUGCCAGCAGCCGCGGUAAGACGGGGGACCCAAGCGUUGCUCGGAAUCACUGGGCGUAAAGCGGGUGUAGGCGGCUUCGUAAGUUAAGUGUGAAAGCCUUGGGCUCAACCCAAGAAACGCACUUAAUACUGCGAAGCUUGA